RNAcentral lists this long non-coding RNA (2265 nucleotides) under Lactuca sativa (garden lettuce). Its description in RNAcentral is "long non-coding RNA (LSAT_LNC007260)". The record is from RNAcentral. Lineage: Eukaryota; Viridiplantae; Streptophyta; Magnoliopsida; Asterales; Asteraceae.
UAUGAACUCACCUUGUGUGAUUUCAGUAGAUAAGUGUUGAAGAAGAGAAGUGUUCAACCCAAGAACACUUGAAGAAUCGCUUGAAGAUUCGAAGCUCUAACACAAAUAUAAUGGAGUUUGUGUAAGAUAUCCAUGAUUUGAGUGGAAAUGAUUGAGAUAAUCAUAAAGGAAAUGGAUUAUGCUUACCAAAUGUGGAGGAAAACUCAAGAUCAGCCCUUGAAUCUCAGAUUUCUAGAGAGAGAAAGUGAGAGAGAAAGGAGUUUGAUUUUCUUGUGAAAUGAGAACAAAUGAGAGAAGAUGAGGAGAGAGGAUGAAUAUCCAGCUCUCAAAACGUGGAUAUGGCUUGUGAGGGAGGUAAAAAGUACAAGGAAGUGACAAGGUAUGGUGGGGAGGAGUGUGGGUUAAUCAUGGAGUGGGUAUGGGGUUGCUUAUGUCAUAAAAUAAGGUAAAGUCAACACUCUACCUUUGUACUUUACCUACUCUUAUUUGGAUAAGAUUUUACCCUUAAAAUAUGAUUAAAUCAUUAAUUUAGGGGUCUUAUAUUUUAAAAUAAAGUUUUGGUGAAAAUCCCAUGUUAAAACAAUUAAAAACGGGUCUUAAACGCAAAAUUACGCGAAAACGGGGUGAAAAAUGAGUUUUCCAGCGAGAUUCUUCGGACCUAGGCCGAGGUUCGGUCCCUAGGCCGAAGUUCGGUCAGAUGGGUGCACGGUUCGGACGCGAGAGGCGCGAGCCAGAAGGAAGAAGCGAAGCGAGAAUGGAUCUGAGGCUCGGUCCGAAGAGAAGCGAAGUCCGGCGGUUCGGUCCGAAGGGAAGCUAGAACCGAAGGAACUGUUGUGAACAGUAAUGAACAGUACCUUCGGGUUCGGUUCUUCCUCUUAUGCGAUGUUCGGUUCGGAUGAACAGUAGUCUCGGUUCGGACCUUCAUGAAUAGUACUUUCGGUUCGGUUCAUGAAUAGUACUUUCGGUUCGGAGGGUUCGUUUCCUUAAGUCCGUUUUUCGCGUAGACUUCCGUUUUUGGGCUAUUUUCGCCAAAUUCGGGGGUCGGAAUGCCCCGAGUGAUUAUAGAAAGUUGGGGAGAGAUUUCGAGAGAGAUUUGAGAGAGAUUCCACAUACUCAGAGAGAUUUGGGAGAGAUUUGACAUACUUGGGGAGAUUUCUCAUACAAAGAGAGAUUUGGGAGAGAUUUCACAUACUUAGGGAGAUUUGGGAGAGAUUUGACAUACUUGGAGAGAUUUCACAUACAGAGAGAGAUUUGGGAGAGAUUUCACAUACUUAGGGAGAUUUGGGAGAGAUUUGACAUACUUGGAGAGAUUUCACAUACAGAGAGAUAUUUGGGAGAGAUUUCACAUACUUAGAGAGAUUUGGGAGAGAUUUGACAUACUUGGAGAGAUUUCACAUACAGAGAGAUAUUUGGGAGAGAUUUCACAUACUUAGGGAGAUUUGGGAGAGAUUUGACAUACUUGGAGAGAUUUCACAUACAGAGAGAUAUUUGGGAGAGAUUUCACAUACUUAGGGAGAUUUGGGAGAGAUUUGACAUACUUGGAGAGAUUUCACAUACAGAGAGAUAUUUGGGAGAGAUUUCACAUACUUAGAGAGAUUUGGGAGAGAUUUGACAUACUUGGAGAGAUUUCACAUACAAAGAGAUAUUUGGGAGAGAUUUCACAUACUUAGAGAGAUUUGGGAGAGAUUUGACAUACUUGGAGAGAUUUCACAUACAAAGAGAUAUGUGGGAGAGAUUUCACAUACUUAGAGAGAUUUGGGAGAGAUUUGACAUACUUGGAGAGAUUUCACAUACAAAGAGAUAUGUGGGAGAGAUUUCACAUACUUAGAGAGAUUUGGGAGAGAUUUGACAUACUUGGAGAGAUUUCACAUACAAAGAGAUAUGUGGGAGAGAUUUCACAUACUUAGAGAUAUGUGGGAGAGGUUUCACAUACUUAGAGAUAUGUGGGAGAGGUUUCACAUACUUAGAGAUAUGUGGGAGAGAUUUCAUUGGUGACCUUUUUGAGUGUCCGGCUACGCACUGCAAGGUCCUUAAACCCCGUUAAGCCUUGAUUAGGGAUCUUGCAUACUCCCGAUGAGUAUGUAACAUUGUUUUAUCGGUUUGGCUCUCCACGUACCACCGUUUUAGGUUAAGGAGAUCUAGGUGAACGCACUUUUCGAUUUAUGAUCUCUCAUUAGAAUAGAGAGUUGUUUAGAAGUUACAUAACGUAAACUCUAGUACUCACGGCAAAUUGAGUUGACCGGUUUGACUUGUUGACUUUAGUUG